AGUGAACGCUGGCGGUAGGCCUAACACAUGCAAGUCGAACGGCAGCACAGUAAGAGCUUGCUCUUACGGGUGGCGAGUGGCGGACGGGUGAGGAAUACAUCGGAAUCUACUUUUUCGUGGGGGAUAACGUAGGGAAACUUACGCUAAUACCGCAUACGACCUACGGGUGAAAGCAGGGGAUCUUCGGACCUUGCGCGAUUGAAUGAGCCGAUGUCGGAUUAGCUAGUUGGCGGGGUAAAGGCCCACCAAGGCGACGAUCCGUAGCUGAUCUGAGAGGAUGAUCAGCCACACUGGAAAUGAGACACGGUCCAGACUCCUACGAGAGGCAGCAGUGGGGAAUAUUGGACAAUGGGCGCAAGCCUGAUCCAGCCAUACCGCGUGGGUGAAAAAAGCCUUCGGGUUGUAAAGCCCUUUUGUUGGGAAAGAAAAGCAGCAGGUUAAUAACCCGCUGUUCUGACGGUACCCAAAGAAUAAGCACCGGCUAACUUCGUG
Molecule: ribosomal RNA, 492 nt
Filed under: uncultured bacterium
Lineage: Bacteria
Description: partial 16S ribosomal RNA
Rfam family: Bacterial small subunit ribosomal RNA
Source: RNAcentral